RNA transcript from Salvia miltiorrhiza (redroot sage), 3321 nucleotides. It is a transcript of the gene named F-box/LRR-repeat protein At1g67190, with no coding region annotated. The record is from RefSeq and is a predicted model, not a curated record. The transcript has 5 exons. Lineage: Eukaryota; Viridiplantae; Streptophyta; Magnoliopsida; Lamiales; Lamiaceae.
GGUGAAGCUUGGUAGUGAGUAGAGCAAUGAAUAAUAGAAUGAUUAUAGUAAUAGAAUGAUGAAAUACAACCUAAUUCUGGUGGAUGUACAGUGCACACCACUUCUUUACGUGAUACUCCUAUUAUACGCCGUCGCACUGGUGUUUUACAGCUUGACCUUUUCCCCCGUCUUUCAGCGAAUCAGAUUCCACUAUUUCCAUUCUUCUCCACUCUCUCUCGUUUUCACCCAAAUCUCUGUCUUCUGAUUUAUGCAUACGAUUUAAUCGUGCCGAUCAAUGCCAUCUCUCUCAAAAUAGAUUAUUGUUGGCGUUUUAUAGCGGCGGAUUUUUCAGUUGUUUUAUUUGGACAAACUUUGUGAAGUUGAUGAAAGUUUUUGCCUCUCUACACAUACACAUCUGAUGGUGUUGGUUGUUCGGUUGGGAUAGGGAAAAACUGAAUUAUGCUUGACUGACGGAUUCUAGGUUUGUUCUUUGGGAUUUUUUGAGUGCUUAUAGAUUGGCGGAAUUGAUAUAGCACUAUCACAUUACUAUUCAGGGCGUUUAGGUUUGGCAUCUUCUUUCUGGAUUUGAUCAGCUCUGAGGAUUAGGAUUUGUGGCUGUGAACCCGGAUACUGUGUUUGGAGUAUCUGAACAACUAUUUUCUGGAAUUGGAUUAUUUACAUUGGUGAUUUGAUUGAAUUUGGUGAACUGUAGCAUUUUUCGGGCCCUCUGUUUUGCAGUUAUUUUAUUGGUUGGAUAUGGAGUCUCUUCCAGUUGAGGUUGUUGGGAACAUUCUAUCGCGUCUUGGAGCUGCUCGUGAUGUUGUGAUUGCAUCAGCAACUUGCCGGAAAUGGCAUGAGGCUUGGAGGAAUCAUCUCCACACUCUUACAUUUAAUUCCAACGACUGGCCUUUGUAUCAUGAUUUUUCCACUUCUAGACUCGAAAUCAUUAUUACUCAGACUAUAUUCCAGACCAAAGGACUGCAGUGCCUUUCAAUAAUUAUGGAUGAUGUAGACGAAUUCUCUGCUGCCCCAGUUAUCGCUUGGCUCAUGUACACUCGAGAAACCUUGCGUCAACUACAUUAUAAUGUGAGAACACAACCUAACAUCAACAUGCUUGAAAAGUGUGGUCGACAGAAGCUUGAAGUAUUGGCUUUGGCUCACAAUACAAUUACUGGAGUCGAACCUAGUUAUCAGAAAUUCCCCUGCUUGAAAUCUCUUUCCUUGAGUUAUGUCAGCAUAUCAGCCUUGGAUCUGAGUCUUCUGCUUAAUGCCUGUCCAAAAAUUGAAUACUUGAUCUUAAUCAGUCUAGAUAUUGUCAUGUCGGAUCCCCAGGCAACGAUGGAUUUGAGUAGCCACUCAUUAAAGGAUGUUUAUGUUGAGGCAAUCAGUUUGGAUAAGUUUAUACUGGAGGCUGAUAGCUUAGAAAAGUUGCACUUGAAAGAUUGUACACUUGAAGUUUUUGAGCUUGUUGGUAAAGGGAUGUUGAGAUUCCUGAAGAUUGAUGAUGUUAGUGUCAUCCAUCUUGAUAUUGGUGAGAGUGCCGAAAAUCUGGAGAUUGUCGAUGUGAGCAAUUUCACGAUCAUGUGGGCGAAGUUCCUCCAUAUGAUCUCAAGAUCAUCCAAGUUGAGAAAGCUUCGGUUAUGGGGUGUUGUAUUUGAUGACGAGGAAGAGUUUGUGGAUGUAGAAACCAUCUCCUCAUGCUUUCCUUUGUUGAGUCAUCUGUCCCUGAAUUAUGAUCUAAGAGAGGCAGCUCUUCAGUAUGGCUUACAAGGUUCUUUUGUUUUGGACAAUGUGAUUGUCUUGGAACUUGGGUGGACAGUAAUUAGUGACCUGUUCUCGAUGUGGGUUUCAGGACUUCUGGAAAGAUGCCCUCAUCUUAAGAAAUUAGUUAUUCACGGCGUUGUGUCUGAGACCAAAACUCAUGAAGAAUGCCACACAUUGGCCAACUUUACUUCAGCUAUUGUGAGACUCAUGAGGAAGUACCUGCACGUGGAGGUUCAAUUUGAAUUUGAAUAGAGAUAUUUUACUGUAUCCGAGCUUCUCUGUUAUGGGCUACAGAAGCAGGCAGAGAAUCAGAGAUCCUCAUUACGGAUUCUUCAUUUAUUCCGAUCUGGUCUUCCCCAGAUAAUUUUUUGACUGACAACAGUUGUAUUUUAUUGAUAUUUUUCUGGAAAAGUUCAGUCGACUAAUUAUUUAUAGAUCAUACUGGCAAAACAUCUUUUCAAGAAACCCAAGAAAGUCGAGACACAGAGAAGCAAGUGAUUGCCUAAUUCGGUAAUGCGUAUGUGUGCGUAGCAGUGUCUUCUGAGAUAUUUCACAAAGCUUCAAUGGGUGGAAAGCAGGGAAAAUCUCUUUCGAUCUGGGAGAAAAGGAAUUUAAGACACAUCAGCAGUCUAGAUAUAUGCGUGAUGAAGGAGAACGGGCAUCUUUUGGAUGUUCUCUGAUCUCCAAAAUGGGGUAAAAAGUUUUCAACUUGUGUAUUAUGUAUUCUUUUCAAUGCUGCUUCUAGAAAGUUGUGAUUUAUCCAUGUUCCAAUGACUGAUGCAAGCAUAUGAAUAUUGAUGGUAUUAUUGCCAGUUUACUCGUGAUGUAUGAAAAAUCAGUGGAAUAUGAGAUAUAUCAUUAUUUUUCGUGAACUAUCUAGUUUGGAUUAGAAAUGCUGAAAACGAAUCAAAGAGUGUUGAUUUUGAUUGUUCGCUGGAAGAAAAAUGACGGCAAAUAGAGAAUCAGUGGGAUGAGAAAGGACCACCAAGUCAGAGAUCCUCCUUGAAAUAUCUAACAAUAAAAACGUGGCUGGAAAUGUUCAACCAAAAAUAGGGUAAAAAAAAAACCCGGCCAAAAUAGUGCACCAACCUCUAUAAAUACUCAUCCUGCAACUUGUUCCUGAACAUCAUAUAUCAAAACCAACAACACAUCUCCAAUGAAUCAGUUGUGUGUUGACGGAAAUGAUGAGAAAGCAGGAGGAGCUAGGCAUUGUUUUCAGUUGAAGGAGUCGGUCAUCGAGAUUCUAGCCAAGGAUCUCUGCAAGUUAAGGUGCUUUUCUAAAUCAUGGAAUGUCUUGCUAUCUCAUGAUGUUGAGUCGUGGAAGCAAAAGCCUCUGUUGUUGGUUAGGAGGAACAAACUUAACAAGACCAAAAUAACCUCCAUAGACAUGCUGGGAGAAGUUGAGAAACAGAUUGAUGUAUGUGUGCAAUCCCAGCAUUCACCAAGUUGUUUGUACAACGCAGGCUUUGCCUACCAUCCAUUCCUGCAUCUCACGACUACAACAUAGUCCACAUCUUCGGGAACCAUUCUGUAGUCGGAAACAAGAAAAUGGGAUCGAGUUUAUUAUUAUUAUUAUCU